This 491-nucleotide ribosomal RNA is filed under the name Microbacterium immunditiarum. RNAcentral's name for it is "bacterial SSU rRNA". It matches the Rfam family "Bacterial small subunit ribosomal RNA", at positions 408 to 907 of the family's 1533-position model. The record is from RNAcentral. Lineage: Bacteria; Bacillati; Actinomycetota; Actinomycetes; Micrococcales; Microbacteriaceae.
AUGACGGCCUUCGGGUUGUAAACCUCUUUUGGUAGGGAAGAAGCCUUCGGGUGACGGUACCUGCAGAAAAAGCACCGGCUAACUACGUGCCAGCAGCCGCGGUAAUACGUAGGGUGCAAGCGUUAUCCGGAAUUAUUGGGCGUAAAGAGCUCGUAGGCGGUUUGUCGCGUCUGCUGUGAAAUCCCGGGGCUCAACUUCGGGCGUGCAGUGGGUACGGGCAGACUAGAGUGCGGUAGGGGAGAUUGGAAUUCCUGGUGUAGCGGUGGAAUGCGCAGAUAUCAGGAGGAACACCGAUGGCGAAGGCAGAUCUCUGGGCCGUAACUGACGCUGAGGAGCGAAAGGGUGGGGAGCAAACAGGCUUAGAUACCCUGGUAGUCCACCCCGUAAACGGUGGGAACUAGUUGUGGGGUCCUUUCCACGGAUUCCGUGACGCAGCUAACGCAUUAAGUUCCCCGCCUGGGGAGUACGGCCGCAAGGCUAAAACUCAAAGG